RNAcentral lists this ribosomal RNA (440 nucleotides) under uncultured bacterium. Its description in RNAcentral is "partial 16S ribosomal RNA". It matches the Rfam family "Bacterial small subunit ribosomal RNA", at positions 338 to 795 of the family's 1533-position model. The record is from RNAcentral.
CCUACGGGUGGCAGCAGUGGGGAAUAUUGCACAAUGGGGGAAACCCUGAUGCAGCGACGCCGCGUGAGUGAAGAAGUAAUUCGUUAUGUAAAGCUCUAUCAGCAGGGAAGAAAAUGACGGUACUUGAGUAAGAAGCCCCGGCUAACUACGUGCCAGCAGCCGCGGUAAUACGGAGGGGGCAAGCGUUAUCCGGAUUUACUGGGUGUAAAGGGAGUGUAGACGGCAGUGCAAGUCUGGGGUGAAAGGCGGGGGCUCAACCCCCGGACUGCUCUGGAAACUGUACGGCUGGAGUGCAGGAGAGGGAAGUAGAAUUCCUGGUGUAGCGGUGAAAUGCGUAGAUAUUAGGAGGAACACCAGUGGCGAAGGCGGCUUACUGGACUGUAACUGACGCUGAUGCACGAAAGCGUGGGUAUCAAACAGGAUUAGAUACCCCUGUAGUC